Rhinichthys klamathensis goyatoka is the source of this 373-nucleotide non-coding RNA. The record is from the annotation of a RefSeq genome assembly. NCBI's taxonomy places the organism in Eukaryota, Metazoa, Chordata, Actinopteri, Cypriniformes, Leuciscidae.
CAUGAGUGAAUUUCCAGUCAAAUGUUUCCUUCUUCAGUGUUGUAUUGGGCUGUCCAUGGCUUUAAAAGUCACACAGACACCUAUUGACCUUUUCUUAGUCAUUGGAGCCACAAUGAACAUCACCUGCAGACACAAUGACAAAAGCUAUGACAAAAUCUUCUGGUACCAGCAGCCAAACGGGCAAAGUCUCGAGCACCUUGGCCUCCUUUCCUUCAAACAAUCCAUGGCUGACAGAGAGGGUUUCACGAUAACCGGAGAUGCAGAGAAAGCGGCGAAUCUGCUGGUGUCGUCUGUGAAAGCUGAGCACAGCGCUGUGUAUUUCUGUGCAGUGAGUGAUGCACAGUGCUUCAAGUGUAUAGGAGACUGCGCUUAA